RNAcentral lists this long non-coding RNA (4159 nucleotides) under Homo sapiens (human). RNAcentral describes it as "long non-coding RNA NONHSAT185313.1". The record is from RNAcentral. Lineage: Eukaryota; Metazoa; Chordata; Mammalia; Primates; Hominidae.
UUACAGUGUUUAUCUGCUGAUGAUAGCCAGACAUCAGUGUUAGACCUGGAGGAGGCCUGGGAGGAAUCCGGUCCACUUACUCCUUCAUUUCACAGAAGAAGAGCUGGAAUCCAGGGUAGCUGAGGUUACUCAGACCUGACGAAUGACUGGAAAGAUACAAAGACAUUUCACUUAAUGGCCGUGGACAGCAACCUCAUGAUGACAUCGCUCCAGCAUUUCUUUGUGAAAUGUGUUGCUCCCUGGGCCUGUCCCAUUAUCAGUGUUUGGGCCUGUAUCCUGGGACUCUACCAGCUUUACCAGUGACAGUUCCAUAUCCCAAAACACCCUUCGGUAGCAGGCAAACUGGCAUGGUUGGUCAGUCUACGAGACACAGUGAGAUGGCUUCAGUCUUUUCUCUGGAGCAUCUCUGGCUGGACUGGACGUUGUUAGUGUGAGACAUCAGGGGACUUGCAGCAUUCAGAGUGGGGUAUCGGAAGGCCCACAAAGGCCCACUCUCAGUUUAUAAGGUCUGGUUUAAGCUGCCCCUCUGGAGCCUGUUUUCUGUUCUAAUGGAAACAAGAAUUUACUCUGUUUUCAUUUCCGAGCCACACAGCAUUCUGCAAAAUAAAAUUCUAAUCAGGUGUCAUCUGAAACAAAGGAAUAAAGACAGGCUGCAAGUAAUUUCUAUUGAUAUUAUGCAGCCAAAUCGCAAAGUCAAGUGCUAGCUAAAUUCACAGAGCACAUUUCAGUGUAGAAAGAGCAUACACAUGGCAUUCUGAGGUACAUCCUGCCUCUAGCAUGCUGGAAUGACUUUCUGUUCCUAGGUCACAUAGUUACAGAAGGAGCUCUCCAACCUGACUGCUAAAGCUGCAGCCAUAAAUCCUUGGAACCCCUUCCAGAGACUACUGGUAAUGAAGCUGUGAGCAGGCAUCCUCAGGAACCCCAGGGAAAUCAAGAUAAUGCAAGUACCAUUGCUCUCAUUUAUGGGUUUGUGAAUGCUGAGAUUAAGAAGGAAUCGUGAGUCUCUACAAGGUUGGAGACUGUAAUGUGCCCUGCCUGGCUGGCUCUGGCUUCACACUCUGCAUUGUGUGUGCAGGGAGCUUCUGGACACUCUGACGAGGAUCUGGUUACCUCUGCACAACACAGAAGACAGGUUGAGGAAGACGGAAAGCUGAGGGGCUUCUUCAGGGAAAAAUAAUCUCAGCGUAGCAUCCCUGUAAGCCUGUCUCCAUCUUACUUGAAGGCUUGUAGUCAUGCCAACUGAAAAGGGUGAGCAGCUUUUCAAAGAUUCCAUCAAAUCUCAGGAAAGCAAAAGCCUCACAUUCCUUUUUCUCUAUCCCCAGGGACUUGCUUGGAUUUCUCCAAAUCCAUCGUUUGUGUUGUGCCAGGCCAUGACUAUUUCUCUCUGUGAUAAAUACUUAAUGCAAAUGGCAAGCCAUCCUGAGGGAGGCUGGCAUCCGUACCUACUGAGAAGGCCAGCAAACAGUGUGUGAAGCACCGACGUCAAAGGCCAUUAAUGCAAAUGCAAAUUGACAUUUUUCAUCAAGGUCUAACAGUACACCAACAGGUAGGCCAACCACUGUGCUGCCUGUUUACAGAAACACGUUGCUAAUCAGUCAGCACAAUCCACUCAAUACCAGUGUUCCUCCACAUUUGCUUCUUAAGCUUUUUGAGAGCAUUAAAUUAGUUUCAAUUAGUAAAGCUAAUGUGUGCAGAAAUAUUGAACAUUUUAAUUUAAUGGAAAACACCCUGCUGGGUGAGAAAUAUCAUUUCUAUCUGGAGCCCAUUUUUGUAGCACAAGCCGCUGGCUGCAUAUCUUGAAAGGUUAACCACAGGUUCAUUACAGUCCAAAACACUGAUGUUGACAUUGUUUUGCAUUUCUUACAGAUCAUUAAAAAGCUCGAUAUUCAUUUCUUCAGUGAUGAGGUUCAUCUGGAAGUUAAGGAUUUAAUUUGUGGUUUUGAAUUUUACCUUUUUCCUGUUAGAGCACAAAAGAAAAACUAUUGCAUCACGAAAGUUCUCUAUCAUGUGAAUCGUUUCCAUACACAUACAACAGUGAAAUAUUGCCAAGCAGCAAUAAUGAAACAGUCACCCUUUUCCUCACGAUAGCCAUAUACAUUCUCAGCUCUCCAAUUCGUUGCCACCAUUAGCUCUGUUUUAUUUAUUGUGCCUGAAGCCUGAUUUCCAAUGGGAGGCCUUGUAUAAUGGAAUGCCAGUAGACUUCUAGCUCCCUGUGAUUUAGAUGCCAGCUUUAUGCUCCAUAAUAAAACGAGAGAACUAGACACACAUGAGAAAAUACAUUUUAUCUACUGGCUGAUGUUCAUAUGUUGAAUGUUAGAAGGACUUUGGUUUUCAGCCAUCACUAAAUUUCACAGAGUUGCUGACAUAAUUUCACACCUUCCUGUGGGCCAUAAUAAUGACAGGAGAAUUUUAAAUGUGGGAUUUGACAUGGAGAAAUACAUGUAAAGUUUACUACAGCCACCAAAGAAUGUUAUCUCAGUGAUCAAAUACAAAACAAAAAUUAAAUACAGCAUUAUACAGAAGUAGUUAUUUAUCCUCACCCAUCAUAUUGUGAAGGAAAUUACUGCAUCAAUAAAAAUGAAACAAAAAAUAGUCUGGUGUUAUAGCUGAAGGGAAAGAGUGAAGGUGGAGGGAGGGUGGGAAUGAGAGACAGGGAGAAAAGAUACUAGAGUGUCCCAUGGAAUUCAGAGUUUCUACUUUGAAAAUAGAGAAAUCUGAAAGUCUUGACACUGAUUUGUGGUUGGGUUUGGACCAUGGAGAGCAGCAGAAGGAGAUCACAAGGAAGGAAAAGGGAUGAGUGACCCACAUGCCAAACAGUGGAACCAACUCUGAGAUUUCACUUUUCACCAUCCCCCAGGGGACCAGUCAGCCACAUGGUGGCUGCUGAACAUAUUAAACCCAAAUCCUUGCACUUCAUGGGUAGGCACAUACUUGACUUACAGAUUUGAUUUUCCUACCUGCAGUUCUUCUUUCACAACUACUAUUCCUGGACUUACAGAAUGCCAUAUUCAUUGACACACAAUGUUGCCUCUGCCCAAGAGAUGUAUUUUACGGCAAAGGAAGUGUAGUAAUGGGCUUGCAACCUUGAGGUUCAUGGGUUCUUACCAAGAUCCUCAUGCCUCAGAAGCAUCUGGCCUGAUGGAAUAGUGAAUGGCUUGCUGAAGGUUCAAACAUGGCCCUAGUUAGAGCCCACACCUCAUGAUGUGGGACUACACUCUUAUAUGUGUUGCAUAUGCCUUUAACCAGUGGAGAAUACAUGGUGUUAUGUCUAUCAUUAACACAAUGCUCAGAUCUGGUAACUAAGGAGAAGUGCAAAUGGUCUCCUUCAGAAUUCUUCCUGUUAACCUACUUGAGUUUUUUUCCUUCUGUUCCCAUAACCUAGGCCUUCUGUAUUUAGAAGGCCUAAUAACUAAGGAGUGAGUGCUUCCAUCCAGGAAUAUUAUCAUCCUUCCAUUGAGCUGGAAGCUGAGAUUGCCACUUGCCAUUUUGGCUUCCUCAAGCUAUAAAACAAACAGAUACAGAUGUCACUGUGGUGGCCGUAGGGAUUGAUCUCAAUUACCAAAGUAAAUUUAGCUUGCUGUUAUACAGUGGGGAUAAGGGAGACUAUGCCUGGGUCAGAGGAUUUAUUGGGGAGUCUCCUAUUACCCUCUUGUCAAAAAGUACUGGCCAGUAAAAUUAUUCAACAACCCCCCAAAACAAACAAACAAAAAAACAAACAAAAAAACCUACCACCACCAACAGGCCACCAAGGAAUCAAAUCCCAGUGAAACAAAAGUUUGAUUCAUUCCACUAGGUAAACAACCUCUGCAACUGCAAUACAGCAGAAGGAGAGGGACAAAGAGGAGGUAGUGGAAUAUGCAGCUGCAAUGACCACCAAUUUAGGCUGCAUGAGCAGCUGUAGGACUGGGGCUCCAAGAGCUGUUUCCUGUUAAUGAACUUUUUCUGUUUUCCUUUCUAACAGUAGUGGCUUUGAGAUUUCAAGUGUCGAAUGACAGCAUUGACAUUACCUAUCAACAUUCCCCUUGAUUGUUGCUGGCUCCAGAGUCCUUGUGGUUUUCCUACAUUCUGCACACAUCUUUGUGAAUAGUCACUUAUUUAAACUAUCCUAAAAUUAUGCAGUUAAUGUGCAGUCUCUUUCCUGCUUGGACUUUAAAUAAUA